Molecule: unclassified non-coding RNA, 346 nt
Filed under: soil metagenome
Description: partial contains 5.8S ribosomal RNA, internal transcribed spacer 2, and large subunit ribosomal RNA
Rfam family: 5.8S ribosomal RNA (bases 1-119)
Source: RNAcentral
GAUGAAGAACGCAGCGAAAUGCGAUACGUAAUGUGAAUUGCAAAUUCAGUGAAUCAUCGAGUCUUUGAACGCACAUUGCGCCCACUGGUAUUCCGGGGGGCAUGCCUGUCCGAGCGUCAUUGCUGCCCUCAAGCACGGCUUGUGUGUUGGGCCCCGUCCUCCGAUCCCGGGGGACGGGCCCGAAAGGCAGCGGCGGCACCGCGUCCGGUCCUCGAGCGUAUGGGGCUUUGUCACCCGCUCUGUAGGCCCGGCCGGCGCUUGCCGAUCAACCCAAAUUUUUUAUCCAGGUUGACCUCGGAUCAGGUAGGGAUACCCGCUGAACUUAAGCAUAUCAAUAAGCGGAGGA